AGUUCCUACGGGGCGCAGCAGUGGGGGAUAUUGCACAAUGGGGGGAACCCUGAUGCAGCAACGCCGCGUGAGUGAAGAAGGCCUUCGGGUUGUAAAGCUCUUUAAUCAGGGACGAAGAAUGACGGUACCUGACUAAGAAGCCCCGGCUAAAUACGUGCCAGCAGCCGCGGUAAUACGUAUGGGGCAAGCGUUAUCCGGAUUUACUGGGUGUAAAGGGAGCGUAGGCGGCCUGGCAAGCCUGGUGUGAAAUACCGGGGCCCAACCCCGGGGCUGCAUUGGGAACUGCCAGGCUGGAGUGCCGGAGG
RNAcentral lists this ribosomal RNA (305 nucleotides) under uncultured bacterium. Its description in RNAcentral is "bacterial SSU rRNA". It matches the Rfam family "Bacterial small subunit ribosomal RNA", at positions 334 to 655 of the family's 1533-position model. The record is from RNAcentral.